GAUGAACGCUAGCUACAGGCUUAACACAUGCAAGUCGCGGGGCAGCAUAGUGAUUGCUUGCAAUUACUGAUGGCGACCGGCGCACGGGUGAGUAACGCGUAUCCAACCUACCCUUUACUACGGGAUAACCCGGCGAAAGUCGGACUAAUACCGUAUGUAGUCCAUUGACGGCAUCCGAUUUGGACCAAAGGCUUAGCGGUAAAGGAUGGGGAUGCGUCCGAUUAGCUUGACGGCGGGGUAACGGCCCACCGUGGCAACGAUCGGUAGGGGUUCUGAGAGGAAGGUCCCCCACACUGGAACUGAGACACGGUCCAGACUCCUACGGGAGGCAGCAGUGAGGAAUAUUGGUCAAUGGGCGUAAGCCUGAACCAGCCAAGUAGCGUGCAGGAUGACGGCCCUAUGGGUUGUAAACUGCUUUUAUGCGGGGAUAAAAGAGCCCACGUGUGGGUUUUUGCAGGUACCGCAUGAAUAAGGACCGGCUAAUUCCGUGCCAGCAGCCGCGGUAAUACGGAAGGUCCAGGCGUUAUCCGGAUUUAUUGGGUUUAAAGGGAGCGUAGGCCGCCUCUUAAGCGUGUUGUGAAAUGCGGGUGCUCAACAUCCGACUUGCAGCGCGAACUGGGGGGCUUGAGUGCGCCGAAAGUAGGCGGAAUUCGUGGUGUAGCGGUGAAAUGCUUAGAUAUCACGAAGAACUCCGAUUGCGAAGGCAGCUUACUGUAGCGCAACUGACGCUGAUGCUCGAAAGCGUGGGUAUCGAACAGG
RNAcentral lists this ribosomal RNA (759 nucleotides) under uncultured Prevotella sp. RNAcentral describes it as "bacterial SSU rRNA". It matches the Rfam family "Bacterial small subunit ribosomal RNA", at positions 28 to 776 of the family's 1533-position model. The record is from RNAcentral. Lineage: Bacteria; Pseudomonadati; Bacteroidota; Bacteroidia; Bacteroidales; Prevotellaceae.